This 1316-nucleotide long non-coding RNA is filed under the name Salmo salar (Atlantic salmon). RNAcentral describes it as "lncRNA (ENSSSAG00000109203.1)". The record is from RNAcentral. Lineage: Eukaryota; Metazoa; Chordata; Actinopteri; Salmoniformes; Salmonidae.
GAAGAGCCAUAACCAAAUAGUGAUGUCAUGGAUAAGUAAAUGCACUGGAAUUCAAACACAGCUUACAUGUUUUGCCCUUAAAAGUGCACAAGGUUACCGAUUUGCUCACCACUGGUAUGUUUGGCUCCUCAGACAAAGGUGGUUUGCAAAGGAAAGUUUGUCCGUUACAAUCUUAACCAACAGAAUCCUGUUUUUUGUGACACUUCAUUUUCAGCUCUUUGAUGACAGAAUGGACAACCCCAGGGCCUGGGACUCAUCAGCUCGGGGGCUGAUGAGUCCACUCUAGGAUGGUGGAGAGGAUAAGUCUCUGUGGCCAGGACCAUAGAAUACUUUUUCCAUAGGGUACAGCACCUCUGCUCUGGGGUCGCGAAACCACACUCUGGGCUGAACUACAACAGGAUUAUAGUAACCUCGAAUGGCUGCUUUCUCCGAGUACUCAAACUGACCAGGGGCUACCAUUACAUUUGAUCGAGGCGCAGAAUUCUCGACCUGCUCAAAGUUGGGCUUGUGGCUGCUAACAAGUUCUCCCUUGGGAGUGUAGACAGAAUGCCUGACAGAGGAGUCAGCCAAACUGGGAUCAGAACCGUGAUAGUUUAAUGUAGACGGUUUGGGUUGAAAGCCUCUGGCAAAGACUUGUCCAUAGGCCCAGUCAGUUGGAUGGCCUAUGGCGUGUUGGUCGAAGAUUGUAAGGGACAAACUGGGUCCUAAGGAGGUCCAAACCCAGGGCAGCUGCUCAGGCUAGUGAAAAGACAGCAUCAAAACAGAAAUGCUAGUGUAAGUAUCUUACGCCAAAAUAUGACAUUAAGCAACUACAUUGAGGACAUGCACAGAGUACCUCUUGCCAUGUUGUCACACCAGGAACCUCCAGCAAAGACAGUGCCAAUCAAAAGGACACUGCAAGAGAUAAAGACAUUCAAUACAAAUGCAUGAUCUAGGAAGAAACAUUUUUAAAGAGCCACAAAUUUUACCUUAGAUAUAUGGGCAGAGGUCGAUGCAUUGUUUCAGUGGUAUCGACCCAAACAACCUGAUGACCAAAUGAUUCAAGCACCUUACAACCUCUUGACAUGCAGCCACUACCCUGCCCUUCUUGAUGAACUAAUUAUGAACAGCUGGUUGUCAUGGAGACCGAACCCAAACAUUUCAUGUACUCAACCAUUAGGCAAAUUGCUUCAUUACACCAGCUGAUUAGAUAGAAAUGUCUGCUCAGCAGCAGUAUUGUGGUGGUUUAACCCAUCGAUAUUAAACAGUGUUCUAUAUAUAUGUGGUUUAACCGUCCAUUUUUGUUGCAUGCAAGUUUUUUUUAUUUUUUAUUAUUA